AUCUAUGGCCACACCAUCCUGAGCAUGCCCUAUCCCAUCUCAUCUCAAAAGCUAAGCAGGGUUGGGCCUGGAUAUCACUCGGAUGGGGGAGAGAAUGAGUGGGCUGUCUAGGCU
RNAcentral lists this ribosomal RNA (114 nucleotides) under Carlito syrichta (Philippine tarsier). The record is from RNAcentral. Lineage: Eukaryota; Metazoa; Chordata; Mammalia; Primates; Tarsiidae.